AUUGAACGCUGGCGGCAGGCUUAACACAUGCAAGUCGAACGAGGGGCGGACGGGUGAGUAAUGUGUGGGAAUGCAGGAUAUGGAGGGGGAUAACUACGGGAAAGUGUCGCUUAUACCGCAUACCAUAGGAUGCGCCCAAGUGGGUGUAGGUAGUUGGUGGGGUAAAGGCUCACCAGGGCGACGACCUCUAGCUGGUCUGAGAGGAUGACCAGCCACACUGGGACUGAGACACGGCCCAGACUCCUACGGGAGGCAGCAGUGGGGAAUAUUGCGCAAUGGGGGCAACCUGACGCAGCCAUGCCGCGUGAAUGAAGAAGGCCUUCGGGUUGUAAAGUUCUUUCGGUAGCGAGGCGUUAACUACAGAAGAAGCACCGGCUAACUCCGUGCCAGCAGCCGCGGUAAUUC
RNAcentral lists this ribosomal RNA (405 nucleotides) under uncultured bacterium. Its description in RNAcentral is "partial 16S ribosomal RNA". It matches the Rfam family "Bacterial small subunit ribosomal RNA", at positions 30 to 526 of the family's 1533-position model. The record is from RNAcentral.